UAAUUAAAGUGUAUAUAUAUAUAGAGCUGGGCUGGUAUACUAUCGGCCUCCGUGCUACCAAGAUGUUUUCAAUGAUGCGGCUUCCAAAUUGAUGAUCGGCUCCGUUAGACUUGAUCUACACUAUUGAAAGUAUUUGGAAACUAAAUUUCAUAAUUUUUCGACAUUAUUUACCUAUCAAAUUAACGAAUAGUCUAAAAAUGAACGGUUGAAAAUAAAAAUCUCAUAAGAAAUGAUGAUUAAAGACUUGAAUUUAAGAUCAGAGAUACUAAUCUUACUCUAUAUAAUGAAAAAAAUUUUAUAUAAAAAUUUUAUCAGAUUUGAAUUGUUUUACACUGUUAAAUUCAUAAAGCAUCAUAUCGACCAUUAAAAUUGCCAAUUUUGAUACCUUUUGAUCACUAGCCAAAUUAUGUUGAAAAAUUAUGAAAUUUAGUUUUCAAAUACUUUUAAUAGUGGAGAUCAAAUCUAACGGAGCCGAUCGUCGAUUUAGAAGCUGCAUCAUUAAAAACAACUUGGUAGCAUGGAGGCCUCCAUGCUACCAAUAGUAUACCAGUCUAGCUAUAUAUAUAUAUAUAUAUAGGGCUAGAACACUCUUAUAAGUAUUUGGCCCUUCGUACUCAUAAGUUGUUUUCGAUGAUGGGGCUUCCGAAUCGACGAUCCACUCCGUUAAAUAUGAUCUAGAGUAUUUAAAACUUCUAUAUAUAUAUAUAUAUAUAUAUAUAGAGUAGGGCUACUACACUCUUAUAAGUAUUUGGCCCUUCGUACUCAUAAGUUGUUUUCGAUGAUGGGGCUUCCGAAUCGACGAUCCACUCCGUUAAAUAUGAUCUAGAGUAUUUAAAACUUCUAAAAAUAAAUUUCAUAAUUUUUCGAAAUCAGAAUAAAAUCCAUCAAACGGGCAUAAAAUGAACGGUCAAAAUCGAACGACGUCCUAAAAAUGGAUGAUCGGAUCCUUCAAUUUUAGAUCGGAGUUAUUGAUCUUUAUCUAGGUAGUGAAUAGAAUUUUCUAUCAAAAAUUCAACCUAUUCCAAUUCUUUUACAUCGUUAAACUAGCAAAUAUCCUAUACCGACCGUUAAAAAUUAUCAAUUUUGUGAGCUUUUGAUCGUCAGGUGAAUGAUGUCGAAAAAUUAUAAAAUUUGAUUUCUAAAAGUUUUAAAUGCUCUAGAUAAUGUUUAACUAUAUGGAUCGUCGAUUCGGAAGCUCUAUCAUCGAAAACAACUUAUAAGUACGAGGGCAAUCGUACUCAUAAGAGUAUAGUAGCCGGACUCUCUCUCUCUCUCUCUCUCUCUCUCUCUCUCUCUCUCUCUCUCUCUAUAUAUAUAUAUAUAUAUAUAGAUAGAUAGUCCGGCUGGGAUACUAUUGAUAGCACGAAGUAUUUUCACCACCCACUCAACCCUAGGGAGCCCACAUCAUCCUAACAGCACAUCUCUUAAUCCAAGAACAAAAAACCUAAAAGCACCAAGUAACUUGGUACAAUUAAAAGCAUAGGAGCUCAACUUUAUAGUUCUCUCUCUCUCUCUCUCUCUCUCUCUCUCUCUCUCUAUAUCUAUAAUCUAUAAAACUAUAUGAAGCCAGAAUAAUUCUUGCCACGUGGCAAGUUAUCUUUCAUUCCCUCUUUGAAAGAACAAAAUGAGAAAUUUAAUGAUUAAUAACUGAUAUAAAUAUAUAAUUACAAUAAUAACUAUAGUUUAAUAUAUAAUUAAUACAUAUAAUUAACCCAAUAUUGUCAAUAAUCU
Molecule: long non-coding RNA, 1731 nt
Filed under: Ananas comosus (pineapple)
Lineage: Eukaryota; Viridiplantae; Streptophyta; Magnoliopsida; Poales; Bromeliaceae
Description: long non-coding RNA (ACOM_LNC039235)
Source: RNAcentral